This 253-nucleotide ribosomal RNA is filed under the name uncultured bacterium. RNAcentral's name for it is "partial 16S ribosomal RNA". It matches the Rfam family "Bacterial small subunit ribosomal RNA", at positions 524 to 776 of the family's 1533-position model. The record is from RNAcentral.
UACGUAGGGGGCAAGCGUUGUCCGGAAUCAUUGGGCGUAAAGAGCGUGUAGGCGGCUUGGUAAGUCCGCUGUGAAAGUCCAGGGCUCAACCCUGGAAUGCCGGUGGAAACUGUCAAGCUUGAGUCCGGAAGAGGCGAGUGGAAUUCCUGGUGUAGCGGUGAAAUGCGCAGAUAUCAGGAAGAACACCCGUGGCGAAAGCGGCUCUCUGGAACGGUACUGACGCUGAGACGCGAAAGCGUGGGGAGCGAACAGG